CCACAGAUUGCUUCUGUGGGAGCUUGUUGCUUGGUUGGUGUAAUCUGUAACGGAUUGUUGUAUGUUGCAAACGCAGGAGAUUCUCGUGUUGUGUUAGGAAGACUGGAUAAUCCGUUUAAAGAGUUGAAAGCUGUUCAACUAUCGUCAGAGCAUAACGCAAGUAUCGAAUCCGUGAGAGAUGAGUUGCGUUUGUUGCAUCCUAAUGAUCCGAACAUUGUGGUCUUGAAACACAAGGUUUGGCGUGUGAAAGGGAUUAUACAGGUUUCGAGAUCCAUUGGUGACGCAUACCUAAAGAGAGCAGAGUUUAACGAAGAACCGUUGUUGCCUAAGUUUAGAGUUGCAGAACGUUUUGAGAAGCCAAUUAUGAGAGCUGAGCCAACGAUAACAGUUCAUAAGAUUCACCCGGAAGAUCAGUUUCUUAUAUUUGCCUCUGAUGGUUUAUGGGAGCAUCUAAGCAACCAAGAAGCAGUUGAUAUCGUCAAUUCUUGUCCACGCAAUGUAAGAUUCUCACAAUCACUCUUCUUGCAUCCGUUUUUUCUUCUUUUGUGUUCGGUCUGAUCGAUCUUGUUGGCAUUUUGUGGUGUCUCUUUAGGCUGUGGCUCGGAGGUUAGUGAAAGCUGCAUUACAAGUAGCAGCGAAGAAGAGAGAGAUGAGAUAUUCUGAUUUGGAGAAGAUAGAACGUGGCAUCAGGAGACACUUUCACGAUGAUAUUACCGUUAUUGUUGUCUUCCUCCACGCUGCAAAUUUUGGGAUUCGAACUCCGGUCUCUGUCAAAGGAGGUGGUCACCUCUCAGGCAAUGCGUUUUUAUAGUCUUCUUUUUAAUCCUAAAAUAAACAAAACAAAAAUCUCGUUUUUUUUUUUCGUUUUCCUUUUUUUUUCUGAACUAUAAUUUGAGUUCUACAGCAUUUUGUUUGCUUCUUUCUUUAUAAAUUUUUUAUAUAUAUAUAUAUAUCUUUGGUUUGUUCAGAACUCAGAUUGUCUGAUACUUGUUUAAAUUAUUUUCUGAUCUCAAAAUUGUAAAUUUUUUCUUCUUUUUUUGUUUCUCCCAAACCAUGUUGUGCUUUUAGCUAUACGAAAAGAGAAAGUGAAAAUAAAAUUAUAAAAUUAAAAAAAAAAAUCUCCAAAAAUUGGUGAAAUGUGGAAAAUAAUGUAAAACUUGUGGAAGUUAAGUAAACGUUCUCUCAUUUGGAGAAGUGAAAACCACUUUCCGGGAAAAUCCUAAUCGGAGCUGAGAAAACCAAACGGAAGAAAACGCUGAGUGAUGAUGAUGAGUGUCGGAGUGAAAGCUAGCGUGUGCUCUCCUUAUUCAUCGCUUUCGAUAUCCUCGAGGGAUUUUUCUUUCCCUUCCUCGUCAUCUCUCUAUGUUGGUAGGAAAAUUCUCCGACCAAGCUCCGGUGUUUACCUGAACCGGCGGUGUAAUUCCAGUGUACUGGCUGUUAUAGAGUCAAGGUAAUCAGAUUAUUACCUUCUGAAGAACUUACAAAGAAUACAAAUUUCGCUUCUAUUGAGACUUUCGAUGUUUGUGUGCUGCUCUGUCUCUUGUUAUUUUGCAGCCGAGUGCCGGAGCUUGAUUCUUCUUCUGAACCAAUUCAAGUGUUCGAUGGAACGACAAGGUUUGGAUUUAUAGAAUGCUUUGAUUUCAUUUCUUGUGAUCAAUCUUGUUGAUGAAGAGUUUUGGCUUCUGCGAUUUGAAGGUUGUACAUAGCUUACACUUGCCCAUUUGCUCAGCGUGCGUGGAUUGCUCGAAAUUACAAGGUUGCAUUUGAUUAUAAUUGUAUGCUGAUUUUAUGUAGAUAUGGAACUAGUUUGAUCUAGAUCAAUCUUGUUGUUGUUGUGCAGGGUCUACAAGACAAGAUAGAACUCGUACCGAUUGAUCUCAAGAACAGGCCUGCUUGGUACAAGGAGAAAGUUUACCCGGCUAACAAGGUCAACUUUUUAUUUUAAGCAUCUGUGAAAGGAUUGAGCUUUAGCAAAACUCCAUAGGAGCUAUAGAGUUUUCUUCUCUGUUUUAUGCAGGUGCCUGCAUUAGAGCAUAAUAACCGAGUGAUAGGAGAGAGCCUUGACCUGAUUAAGUACAUUGACACCAAUUUCGAAGGGCCUUCACUUACACCUGAUGUGAGUAAUGAUGAGUUGUUUGUUUUCUUUGAAUUCGAUUUUAUAAAUUAAGUGCAACAUAUAUACUUAGAAGAGGUAACAUACAUGGAACAACGAUAGGGUGUAGAGAAGCAAGCAGUCGCUGAGGAGUUACUCUCCUACACCGACUCCUUCUCCAAGGCCGUUAGAUCCACAUUUAAUGGCGCCUAUAAUGAUGCAGCAGGUGAUUGUUAGAAGAUGAAGAUACGUCUUCCUUUUGUGUUUUGCGGAUACAUUCUUUUCCUUGUGUUUGAAUCUUUGUCUUCCAUUUCUUCAGAUGGUGCAUUCGAUUACAUCGAGCAGGCUCUUUCCAAGUUCAAAGACGGACCUUUCUUCCUUGGCCAAUUUAGUUUGGUAUUGUCGAUUUAUCUUCAUCAGUUUCUUUAAGCCUUAUCCGCUCUUGAUUCUGAGUCUAAAAUGGGGAAUUUUUUUUAUAAUAUACAGGUUGAUGUUGCGUAUGCUCCAUUCAUAGGUACAUUUCAGAUCAUCUUAAAGGAUGUAAUGAACGUGGAUAUCACAUCUAGCCGCCCUAACCUAGCCCUUUGGUUUCAGGUUACACUAUUUCUUCGACUUUUGUUAUCUUUCAACUAAAGACCAAAUCUUUCCCAUCUAAGUUUUAGUUCUUCGCCUUCUUGUGCAGGAAAUGAACAAGAUUGAAGCUUACACAGAAACCCGUCGAGAUCCACAAGUUAUAGUUGAAAGAUACAAGAAACUAAUCCAAGCAGAAGGACGUCUCUAAGCAGAUAGUUCUCCGGCGUUUCUCCAUUUGGUCAUAUAAGAGAAGAUAUUGUAACCAAGAUUUGUUUUAUAUAUAAUUUAUAUAUUGUCUCGGGAAAGGAUUAAAAUAAAAGCAUCUACAUGACAGGCAACAACUGUUUUCAUCUAUCUCAGUGUUCAUGAGACCAAGCAAGUCUCUAACUAGAAUGAAAAUGCACCUGCCGCUUUUCCUUCAUUGUCCAUCAGAUCGUGCUUGUAGCUUCAAUAAAACUCAGUGUGAGGCAAGGAGCAACGUGAUUCAGAAGAGAUAUUAUACAAAGUCAAACCAAGCCCAGUGCCCAAAGUUGAAAACAGAACUAAAGCAUCAUAAGAGUCUUAUAGUGCUUGCCCAGCUAAUUUCAUUUUGUAUCCAGAGAGAGAAAUUAGUCAGCUUUCUUCAAGAAGAAGAGAGGUAGACGUCGCUGAACAAGUCUUCCAUUCUAUGUGUAUAUACUGAAUGCAAAAAGCUCGAAAAGAAAGUUUCGCUACUUCUUCUUUAGCAGUACUCUCCAUAUCUUCCUCAUAUAAACAACUAAAGACCAUACAGAGAGCCCUGCAGAUACAUAGAGUAACACAAUGCCCGACGGUAAUAGUCUCUCAAAACUGCUAUCCCGGCUUGCAAGAAGUAUGGUUAGGGCUAUCAUCUGCGUUGCAGUCUUCCACUUUCCCAAGCUAUUUACAGCAACAGCCUAAGAACAUCAUCAUUUCCAGCUAUAUGAAUUAGUAGGAACAGUAACAAACAAAAAGUAUUCGAGUAUGCUUAUGAUGGUGACGAUAACUUUACCUCUGAAAGCUUGCCGUUUUGAGAUGCAGCCCAUUCUCUUACUGCUGACAUAGUAAUCUACAGUGAAAAGUAUUACCAAAUAGUUUGGAACCGAGAGUCAAUAAGUGGCUAAAUGCUUAAUGAUUAUCUACGAGUAAGUCAACUUUCUAUAACUUACCUCUCUACCAAUUAUGGCAAUUGAAGGUACUGUCACUAACCAUGGAACUGGUCCUAAGAUAAUGGCGUCCAUUGGUUUAGUGCACAACAAGAUUAAUGUAGCUGCUACCAUAAGCUGCACACCCACGACAUCAAUUUAGAAAGGUAUAUAUUUCAUUUUUACUUGAUACGGCUUGAAAUGAGAAAGAAGAAUAACAAAACGGAUUGCAAAGGAAGAGAGCCUUUCACCUUAUCUGCCACUGGGUCCAAAAAUGCACCAAACGCAGAACCUAAUCUCAUCUGAAAUGCACAUCUCACCGUUAAGCUUCCAGUUUCGAGAGUGGUAAGAAGAAUCCAGAGAAACUUAAGAUAUGCAGAAGCUCAAGGGAGGGUGCAAAAUGAAGUACCUUUCGAGCAAUAUAUCCAUCAAGCCAGUCUGUAAUGGCUGCUGCAAUGAAAAUACUUGUUGUUGCAGUUUUCCCCCACCAGCAAUCAACGUAAAAGGCUACAUUCAAACACAAAGAGAUGAACAUAAUCGCAAAUGGGAUACAAUCAAAAUGAGUAAUACAUCAUCAGAAGAUCCAAUUCAGAUUAUUGAUCAAACAUGUACGAAAGCUUAAAAAUUUCUGGGUAAUGGUAAAACGUGAGGUGCUCAUAGCUAUAAGGUCAAUUCAAAAAGAGUUCUCUUUAGAUCCUCCACAAACAGGAGAACGAGAGAAUCUGUAUCCCAAUGUCAAAUUCAACCAAUUCUGAUCUGAAAAACGGAUUCUACAGAGCCAGAAAUAUCACAAUUGCCUCCUCGUUUAGAUCUGAUCAUGGACAAUGACUCCACCAUAAUUCAGAGUCGAACCCCAAAAAAAAAAAAAACAUUUUCGGGAACAAAAAUCAAACGUACUCGCGACGAGAAUCGGAACGGCAGCUACACGGCCAAGGGUUAAUACGGUAGGCAAUGUAAUCACUUUAGAAGAUAGAUGUUGAGGUGGCGUCAAUGGCGACGAAUGGCGAUGACGGAGCAAAGAAUCUUCGCCACCACCGAAUCUGUCCUGAUCCACCGCCACGGCGUCUUCUUCACCCAUAUCCGCCACAAGACCUGAUCUGCAAACUCGACGAUCCGCCUUUCUCCGACGAAGAGGAAGAGAAGCAACGUAAAGGGCGGUGGCGACACCUCCCCAGAAUCCGGAACCCUAAGCCUUUAUGGAACGCACAACGGCCAAUAAUGAUGCAGCUUGGAGAGAUGCUAACGUGCGCCAACGAGGGAAUUAGCGAGCGGGGGACGUAACGUGCGCCGUAGAUUGACGUCGACUGACGAUUGUUAUUGAAGCAAAAUAUGGUACUUUUUGGCCUUAUUAUUAUGCAGUGGAGCAAUUUGGGCCUUGUUUAAUUAAUUCUAUUACCUUAUUUAAAUCUGUAAUUUGAUUUUGGUAAUUAGACAAAAGUAUUUGUAUGGGUGUAAAUUAAAGUAGAUUAAGCUGUGUAUUUUUUUUUACAAGUGUUAGAGUUUUUAUUGGUUAUACGAAUAGUUAUGUUUUAUCGACCGACACACAAGUUAGCUGAUUGGAUCUUCUUUAUUUGUAAUAUAAAUUGAACAAUAAUUUAGAUUUUAUAAGAUAUAUACAGUAUAUAUAUUAAGUAAACGAUGAAUAUGAUGGACAAGUUUGGACUGUUUAUACUACUUUGGUCACUGCAACAAAUUUUAGAAAUAUUCAAACUUGGUAGUUAAGCUGAGAUAUACAAAUUAUUGCUAUCUUUUGGUUAUAAAAUGUUACGUUAAUUAACGCCAAAAAAAAAAAUUAGUAAUUUGGUUAUACUGCAUUGCAUGAAGUUCCUCGCCACGCUGUCUACAAAAUUUUGAUCACAAUCACAACUGCCAUAGCUGUUGAUAUUCCGCAUGUCGAUUGUUAGAGAAAAUAACGAUGAACCUAAAUUCAAUCCUUGUCCAUUUUUAGGGUCUAGUUAAUUAUUUUUUGUGACAAUUACUCAAAUUUCUAUAGUUCGGACACCUUGAACCAUCGAGAUAGAAAGCACACAUACAAAGUGAGUCUAUAUGGUGAUUACAGAUACGAGAAUUACCUAUUAACAGAUGAUACAUAUAUGAUCUGAACUUCAAGUCCGAAUUUUAUUCCAAACCACUUUUUAAAAAUUUGAAAGAUCAACGACCGAUGAAUCAGCGCCUGUGAAUGCCAAAAUUGAAAACAUCUUUUGACAAAUAAAGAUUUCCUUAUGUGUACUUUUUACAGAAAAAAUACUAUAAUCGAUUGCUACUUUCAAUCCAUUCCUAUAAAGUGUGUAAACUUAUCUUUAAACUUAAGUUUGACUGGAAAAGAAAACAAAAAGAGAAAGAGUGUGAGCUUAAGAAUAUCUAAAUCCUAACUCCAUACAACUUGUAUGAGCAUUUUCUAACACAAUAGUUAUCAAAGCUAAAUCUGAAAGGUCUAAUUGAUAUUAAAAUGUCAAAAUACGAAAUAUAAUAGAGUUGUCUGUGAUAUAAAUUUCUCAUUUGAUUAAACGUAACAUGUGAAGCGCAUUUGCAUUGCUUAAAUGAUUAUAUACAAAAAUCUAAGACAAGCUUUUUAUUUUGUUGUUGCCAGAUUUAGUUCCAUAUAAAAGUCCUUUACCAACUCCUAAAGCAAUUAUCCUUUACCGACAAGUCGACAACCAUUGCAAUCCCCACAAUUAUUAACUUGCAUUAUUUUUAGAUUUCAUAAAAAUCACCUGAAAUAUGAAUACCUACAAAUCGAAGUUUUUCUUGAACGUAAUAAUGUUCUUUAGUUUUUGAUGUUGCAGCAUGUAAAUAGAGUUAUAUCAUUCCAUUACUCGUCUCGCUAUAAUUUUUUCUUGUUUUAAUCAAUAAAAAUAUUAAUAGUAGAAAGAGAUGAAAUGAAAAAUACUGUCAAACGCAAAACCAUUUGACCUCAAUCAUCACCGUUUUAUAACACUAAAAAGUUCAAACCCGAAUUUAUCUUUCUUAAUGUGGCAUUCGAUUGUAGAGUAUAUAAAAUAAUUAUUUAGUUUUAAAAGUUGCAAUUGCUACACUAAUCGUAUACACUAUAACCACAAAAAAUUUUUUUGUAAACCCCAACAACUACAAUUGCACCUACCGGGUUUAAGCGAAAAUUACAUAUUACAGAUUUGCAAAUGUCGUAAGUGUAUUUAUUUAACUAUUAAUAAAUUUUACUUGCUAGUUAACUAUUCAUAACAUUUUUUUGUCUUUAUUUUUAACAUUUGAUUGUAAUUGACUAACUUAAAACAAUUAAGAAAGUGAAUUGUUGAUAUUUAUUGGAAUCAUUUUUUAUAAUAAUUUUCAUAAAUACUUUUCUUUUAUGUAAUGCUUUUUUAGUUAUUUUUUUUUGUUUUUUAUGAAUAAAAUAACUAACUCAAUUAAAUAAAUUCAUAUUUUAAGAUAACAGGUGUUCUAAACAAUGACAUAUAAGCGUAAAUUUGAUUUUUGCUAGACAUUUUUGACAAAUUUCUAUGAAAUAUUGGAAGACAACUAUGAAAUCACAUUCUACAUCCAAAAUAAGGAAGUAGUUAAAAAGUAAGAAUCAAAAAGUUAAAAAGAAACUUUUUUUUUUUUUUAAUGAGAGAAAGAAAAAGAAGACGUUUUGGACUGUGUGUCAAGGAAUCGACGCAGUCAAAUUUCACAUGUAAUAACCUCGUCGACAAUCUCGCCCUUUCCAUGUGAUUUCCCCACUCCUUCUCUCUCUUCUCUCUCUGCUCUCUCUCUCUCUCUACUGCAACUUCCUCUUCCUCCUCCUCCUUAACUUCAGUCGCGGUAUUAUGAUCAACUAGCUUGGAUCUUCUUUUCUUCUCUUCAGGUUCCAACUCUCACCGGACUAGAUCUCUUCUUCCCGGUUACUAAUGAGGAUCGCCGCCGCCUCUUCCAAGCCUCCCAAUCCUCUCGUCGCCUUCGAGCACAAGAGGUUUCGCGUUUCCUUCCCCUUCUUCUCUACAUUUCUCACAUUCUCUUCCUGUUUUAUGAACUUGCGCGCUCUCUCUCUCUCUCUCUUUAGCUUUCGUGAGCGAAAUAUUGUAUCUCCGAUUACGAGAGCUUAACUGUUCUUAAUCUGACUUAUCGUUUGCUUGAUUUGCAUUUUAUCAACAAUUCGUCCCGAUUCUGAUGUUCGUUGAUCUUGAUUUCAAGUACAAUCCUAGUGAUUCGAAUGCGAUUUUUUUUUGUGGCAUUUGCUCCCAAUGUGGCAUAAUUAUCAGUCGAGGCGGUCUUUGAUAGCCAAUUCGAAUGUUCUUAGAGAAAUACAAGGAGCUGGGCUUUAACUAAAUUUUCAUGUGCUGUUCAAUUGCUUGACAAUUUUGUAUCAACGGGUAUACAUUUCUAGGAAACAUGGGGAUUUCGUCUGAGUUAUAGAUGGGAUUUUAUUUCUCAGUAUUAUUUUGGGAACUCAUAUGGCUAUUUUUUUUUUACAGGGAUUCAUAUGGAUUUCCUGUGAGACCUCAACAUGUGCAGAGAUACAGAGAAUAUGCUGAUAUUUACAAGGUUCUAUCUCCAUAUCUCCUAUUUUCUACUCGGGAUUUUCAUCCACAUGAAUUGUUGGAACAGUUUGUUUUCACCGUGGUAGUGAGAAUGACGAUUCCAUUUAGAAUGACACACCUUAGCUACCAAAUGCUUGUAAUAAGUUCUUUUUGGUUCUUGGAAUGGUCGAAGUGGUUCCUAUAAUUAUUUUCCUAAACAAGCCCCCUAAACUUGUAAUGUCACUCUUUGCUUACAAGCAGGAAGAAGAAGAGGAAAGGUCGGACAGGUGGAGCAAUUUCUUGGAAGAUCAUGCAGAAUCGACUGAGUCGCCUGCAAACGGAUCAUCUGAUAAUAGUCAUGCACUGUCUGGUGAAAGUGAGGUUUUAAAAGAAGAUCUGCAUAAGGAUAAGUUGGGUUCUGUUCCCGAUAAUGCAAGUGAAGAAGAAGGACGCCCCGAUUCAGAGAAGACUCUUCACAGAGUGCAAUUAUGGACUGAGGUCAGACCAUCUCUUCGAUCAAUUGAAGAAUUGAUGAGUAUCCGUGUCAAGAAGAAGGGGGAUUUAUCAAAAGGCGAGCAAGAGGCUCCAAAGGUGAAAUCCUCACCCUCAUUUGAUGAUGCCAAAUCUUCCAAGGGAGCAUCUGAGAAUGAUUCUGAAGACGAGUUCUAUGAUGUUGAGAGGUCGGAUGUUCACGAUGGUUCUUCUUCAGAUGGUACAAGUGUAUCUGGCAUCCCUGUUGCCGGUGAUGCAACUUUUCCAAUGUCUACAUGUCCCUGGAAGGAAGAACUUGAAGUGCUUAUUCGAGGUGGUGUUCCUAUGGCUCUGAGGGGGGAGGUAAAGAUUCUUCUCAUGCCUACAGUGCUACCUUGUCUUUCUAUUUUAUAUCAUGCUCUAGCUUUUCCAUCUAUAGUUCGAUAUCCUUAUCUCUUUUACUUCUAUCAACAACAUUUCAGCUAUGGCAAGCAUUUGUGGGUGUGAGGAAACGACGCAGCAAAGAUUAUUACCAAAACCUUCUUGCUGCUGAUAGUUGUGGAAACAGCAUAGAUCAGGAGGAUACGCAGCAUGUUGAUGAUAAAGGCUCGAAUGCAGAAGCCCUUGCUGCCGUAGAAAAAUGGAAAGGACAGAUAGAAAAGGUGGUACUCUAAAAUUUAUUCAGCAUUGACCCUCACUAUCUAGUGGUGCAGUGUUGGAUUAUGCUGAAAUUGAUCAGAGUUCUUACGCCGUUGCUUAUAUCAAGUACAGGACUUGCCUCGGACAUUUCCAGGUCAUCCUGCCCUGGAUGAUGAUGGUAGAAAUGCUCUCCGGCGUUUGCUUACUGCUUAUGCUAGGCAUAAUCCUUCUGUUGGGUACUGUCAGGUAUUUGUUCUUAACCAAUAUCAAUUGGUUCUUAACCAAUAUCAUAAUUCUUUUUUUUAGUACCGAGACAUGGUAAAUUAAGAUUAAUAUCUUGUCUAUAUAUACCAUCUGCAGGCUAUGAAUUUCUUUGCUGCGCUUUUAUUGCUUUUGAUGCCCGAAGAGAAUGCCUUUUGGUAUGUUCCCAAACUAGAUGAAUCUAUCAUCUCCAAGUCCUAAUAUUGUUUUUCCGUGAAUAUCGAACUCCUUGGCUCUGUGUUUAGUUUUUAUAUCUAUCACUUUCAUUUUCUUCUGGUUGAAUUAACUGUUGUUAGGCUUCCUUAUUUCUCCUCUUUUAUCUAAACCGACGUCCUUGCUAACUAAAUUCUUAUGAUUUUUAGGGCACUGACAGGAAUCAUUGAUGAUUACUUCAAUGGUUAUUAUUCAGAAGAAAUGAUUGAGUCCCAGGUGAUCAUAUGAGUUGCCUGUCUAUACAUUUGCACAGAUUUUAGGGCAGACAGGUGAUAUGACAUCUUUUCUACCAAAAAUUCUGUUUGUUAAUGUUACUGUAUCUUGUAUUCCUAAUUUCAGGUCGAUCAACUAGUUCUGGAAGAGUUAGUUCGAGAAAGAUUUCCUAAAUUGGGUUAGUACAUUCACAGAUUUCUUGUUCAUCUUACCAAAACGCUCACAGUUAGCUCUAAUGCUCUGCAUUUUUUUGUAAUGUCUACAGUUCAUCAUCUGGAUUAUCUUGGAGUGCAAGUGGCUUGGGUUACAGGGCCAUGGUUUCUUUCCAUCUUCAUGAAUAUGCUUCCAUGGGAAAGUGGUCAGGUUUUAAACAUUGGAGUUAAAGCUUUCUUGUUUAAAAUUGGGAACUGAGUAACUAACAAUUUGUAAUGACAAUCUGUUUAUAUUUGAUCAUCUUUCUCUUUAAAUUUUGGGACUGAGAACCCAUUUUCUUUCUAAAUGUUCGGCUACUUGAUUACAGUUCUUAGAGUCUGGGAUGUGCUUCUCUUUGAAGGAAAUCGUGUUAUGCUUUUCAGAACGGCACUCGCAUUGAUGGAACUAUAUGGUACUUGAUUAAAACUAGCAGACUUUCAAUUUAAGUGAUAUGUUUUGUGGACCUCCUGAAUGCAGCAGUGUCAUCAUCGAGACUGCCCUAACUUGUGCUUUAAUUCACCUCAGGUCCUGCAUUAGUUACAACAAAGGAUGCUGGAGACGCUGUUACUUUGCUACAAUCAUUGACUGGAUCAACAUUUGAUAGUAGCCAACUCGUUUUAACUGCUUGCAUGGGUUACCAAAAUGUACAAGAAAUUAGAUUGCAAGAGUUGCGAAGCAAGCAUAGGCCAGCGGUGAUAGCUGCCCUUGAGGAAAGAUCAAAGGGGCUUCAAGCUUUUAGGGAUUCUAAGGGCCUUGCCUCCAAAUUAUAUAGUUUUAAGCAAGACCCAAAAUCUGUUUUGGUGGAUUCGGGCAAAGCCUCAUUGACAAAUGGGAGUUUGUCUCGAUCCGAGUCAGGAUCAAGUAAUGCAGAUGAAGUGUUAGUUAGCCUAACUGGGGAUGGAGAGGUAGAUUCUGUUCAAGAUCUUCAAGCGCAGGUAAUUUUUCUCGUCCUUUCUGGUGGCUUGGAGAUGUUCCCCUUAGUACACUUGAAUACUAGAUAAUUAUAUCUCGUGAAAAGGUAGAAAAGAUCACUUGACACCUACAGUCAUGGUGCCCUUCUGAAAGUUGACUGAUCACUUCUCCAGGUUUUGUGGUUGAAGGCUGAAGUUUGCAAGUUGCUUGAAGAGAAAAGAUCAGCUCUUCUUAGGUUAGUCUAUUUGCUCAAAUAUAUAAGUGGAUACUAAACGUUGUGAACUUUAUGUCUCCUCGUUAUUCCUCAAUAUGUGAUGUAUCCCGAUCUUCCUAUUUUAUGGUAGAGCUGAAGAGUUGGAGAUUGCUCUCAUGGAGAUCGUCAAGCAAGACAAUCGGCGUCAAUUGAGUGCCAAGGUAUUCCCAUAACCUUGCCAUUUGACAGUUCGUUUCCCAGUUAAGCAUAUUAACUCGCAUUAUGUUAUUUGUUUCUUCAUCCAUCUUCUGAACACGAACACUACUUUCUCAAUCACUUGUGAAUACCAUCUCUAUGCUGAUCGAAUUCGAAGGCUCAUCCGUGAUAUGUUAGUUUGAGAGUCAUAAGAUGUCAAAUGCUGCUUGUUAUGAAUGUGAACAUCAGGUGGAGGAGUUAGAGCAAGAGAUAGCCGAAGUUCAGAGACUGCUCUCUGAUAAGCAGGAACAAGAAGGUGCAAUGCUACAGGUUUGAAUUUGCAUAGCCAAUUUGUUUUUUUUUUUUUUUUAUCGCUGAUACAUUUGCUGAGAUGAGUUGAUACUUAUGAAGGUCCUGAUGCGGGUGGAGCAAGAGCAGAAGGUAACAGAAGAUGCACGAAGAUUUGCUGAGCAGGAUGCAGCAGCGCAGAGGUAUGCUGCUCAAGUCUUGCAGGUAAAAGAGUUCGCACUGACUCCUACUUACACAAAUGUGGCUUGGCUAUUAAGUUUUACUGUCUCUGGUUAUAGCUGUGACACGCCUCUCAUGGAGUAGAGUUACACAUUAGUUUUUUGGAAAAUAAUCUACAGUAUAUUAUCCGUAUUAACACUUGUCUGUAUGUUUCAAAUGUUACACUAUUUCGUCUUCUGUUUUUUUUUUUUUUUUUUUUGGGGGUCUCUUCCUCCUAUUAUCUUAGAUAAACAAAAAUUAAUUGGUCUAGGAAAAAUAUGAGGAAGCUGUUGCUGCACUCGCUGAGAUGGAGAAGAGAGCGGUGAUGGCAGAGUCCAUGCUUGAAGCGACUUUGCAGUAUCAAUCUGGCCAACUGAAAGCACAGCCUUCACCACGGUGUGUUCUUUUUUACCUGAGACAAACAAAUUGUGUACAUAACUAUUAACAUUCGAUGCGUUUAUGACUCAUGACCUGUAUGUUAAAUUGGGGUAUACACAUAUAUAUAGGCAGCUGAACCAAGAUUCAUCUGCCAAAAACAUCAAUGAUCAGUUACCAGAACCUCCUCAAAGCAGGAUCAGUUUGCUAGCACGUCCAUUUGGACUAGGGUGGCGCGACAAGAACAAGGUUAGUCUUCUUCUUACACCUCAAUAUUUUUUUGUUCAAAACCAAAAACAUUUUCUUCAGUUAACGCACCUUCCUCAUCAUAUACGAGCUGAAAUCAAGUAGUGUCAUUUAACAAAGUCACUAACCCGCGAUUUGCAGAACACAGCACCUGAAAAAACUGUUGAGCAUGUUGUUAAUGAGGAGAAGCCAUCAGCAGAGGAAAAAGAGACCGACUCUGAACCAAAAGACGCUAAACUCCAAGACACUUCCUAGAGUAUAAGUAGUAAUCCUUGUAGCUCUCUUUUCCACUAAAUCUUCAAAUACUAGUAGGUAAAAUUCUCCUACGUUUAGCCUCAAUAGCGUCUCAGUCACCUUUUAUUAAUUUGGAAUGAAGUUUUGGACAUAACUUUUCAAAUAUAUUCAUUUGGUUGUUGGUUUGGUAAGCAUAUAAAAAAUAAUGAGUUUUGAGGAGGUGAGAUAUAUAAGUCAUGAAUGGUGUAUACUGUAUAGUAUAAUUUGAUGUGUUAUCAAACUAGUAGUAUUCUCCAGAUUCCACAGAUUUAUCAUUAAUGAUCAAAUGGUUGAGCAUUUUGUGCUCCGUAAUGCUGAUUUCUUCAAAAACAUUCGUGCGACAAUCAGCUAACCUCACAAAAAUGUAAGUCAAUUACAGCUUCGAGACAAAAGAAAGAAGAAAAGAACCAAUUUCAUCAAAUAAACCAAAACUGGAUUAACCAAAACCGGCAAGGUAACAAAAAUGGAUUAAAACUUCGGAAACAAGAGGGUUCUAUUUCUCUCAUACAAACUUAAAACACAAUUUCGCAUGGUCCUAUUAAAAACAAACAUAUUCUAAUGAUAGCUUACGCCUUCACCAUUUAUAACCUCUCCAAUGCGAUACGCAACAUAGUCUCCAUUAUUGGCUUCUCCAAGUAUUCUCGAUGCUGCCUCUGGGCUAACAACCAACACCAUCCCUAUUCCCAGGUUAAACGUCCUUCGCAUUUCACUGUCUUCUAUAUUCCCAGACUGUAUAAUAACAACCAAAAACAAUCAAAACACUUGAAGUAUAACACAUACGUAAAGUGUAUCUUGAAUGAUUAUCUGAUUGUCUCAUAUCAUUCAUUACCUGUUGGAUCCAUUUGAACAAUGGUGGAAGUUCCCAUGCAUCGGUGUGAAUAACAGCACCCAAUCCAUCAGGGAAGACUCUGGGAAUGUUGUCUGUGAAACCUCCACCUGUUAUAUGAGCUAUCCCUUUCACUCCUCCUUUACUGAUUAUGUCAAGUACCUGCGGAUAGAGAGAAAGAGAUAGUGUCAUGGACUUAAUUAACAAAUGUGAUGGAAUUUGUUUCUUGUUGACAAGAAAAGAAACCUGUUUCACAUAAAUGAUAGUGGGUGCCAUUAAAGCUUCACCAAGAGUAGUUGAUCCACCUGGAAGCUCAUCUUUCAGCGAAAGACCGCUUCGAGCCACGACCCUGCAACGAUUGUGGUCUUUUAGUUUUAUUCAAUGAAUAUAGUCAAUAGUUUAGUGUCAUAUCUUCCACUAACUUACUUUCUUACUAAAGAAAAACCAUUGGAAUGAACGCCACUAGAAGGGAGGCCAAUAAGAACAUCUCCAGCCACUAUGUUCUUCCCGUUUAUAACAGAUUCUUUCUUCACUAUGCCUACUGCAAACCCACUUAGAUCAUACUCACCUUCUGCAUAGAAGUCAGGCAUCUCUGCAGUCUAAAAACAACCGAAACAAGAUUAUGGAACAAUGCAGCAGUCUUAAAAGCUAGGAAUUGGGUUUAACUCUAAAACAUACCUCUCCACCUAAAAGAGCACAGCCUGACUGCUCACAACCAUCGACAAUACCUUUAAUAACCUGAGAAAGAAAAGCACAAUGUUACGUUCUACAUCAAUAUCAUGUACUAGAGCAAGACCGAAGUGGGAAGAGAUGAAACAAAUUAGACACCUUUUCUGCAAGGUCUACAUCAAGACGACUAGUAGCAAAGUAAUCUAGGAAAAACAGAGGCUUAGCACCAGAAGUAACAAUAUCAUUCACACUCAUAGCGACCUGAAACAAGAACAAAAACGAUGAGUGUCUUUUGUAGGCGAGCAUUAAUAGAGUCACAAAGGACAGAUUUUUUGUGUUACCAAGUCGAUUCCAAUGGUGUGAUGAAUUCCAGUCUCGAAAGCCAACUUAAGUUUAGUCCCUACACCAUCCGUACCAGCUACGAGAAAAGAAUCACCUUCACUCAAACAAAGCCACACAGCUCAGUGAUUAGUAUAAGAGUAAUCCAAACCAUGGAAAUUAUAAAAAAAAACGAAACUUUUCAACAUAUUAAAGGUGAAAUUUUGCAGUAUACAUUACCUAGUGGAAAGAGACCACCGAAACCGCCGAUUCCAGGAGCCAUCUUGGCGAUUCGUUUAACGAGCUCAGUUCCAGCAUCGAUAUCAACACCAGAAUCUUUGUAAUUGAGACUCUCGGCGUCGUCGUCUUUUUUAGACAUGGAUAAAACACAGGGAGCCCUUGUCCUUGUUCUCGGCGUCUGAGGAAAGCUGAUGGAGAGAGGUUUCGGCGACGAUGUAACGGAGGAGAAACGGUAUCGAUUGAUGGAACCGGAGGAGAAGGAAGUGUCGAGGGACGAGAAGCAGCGAGAAGAUGACUGCAAAAUCCGAGCUUCCAUGGCUUAAACAGUAAUAAUACAACAAGAGUAGAGUAAUUAACACAGGUCAAGUGAACAAGAUAAGUAACAGAGAGGAAUCAGCAAUGAAAAGAAGAGAGAAUUCGACAAGGUUUAAAGAAAAGGAAGAGUAAAGAGAGAAAAGAGUUACCUGAGAGAGGCUGAGAUUGAGACUUAAGUGAGUCUGAGGCGACGCCGAGAAGGGACUGAGCAAGACUUUGUGUCCGAGCGAGAGUAAAAUGAGAGUGAGAGAGAGGAAGCCUAAAAUAAAUUAAAACAAAAAAAAGGUUUUAAACCCUAAUAACACCACCUAAUUACUUGUUUUUUUCGUUUUCUAUUUCUUUUUUGGUUUUUUAUCUUACACGAUAAACACCCUGAACAGUGCCGACCAAAAAAAAAAAAAAACACCCUGAACAGCAACUACUAGAAUCUAUCAUCAAAAAAUAAAAACUACUUAGAAUGACACUAAUCUUAACUAAAGAAAAAGAAAAAGGUCCAUAUUUCAACUAAAACAUGUUUCCUUUAAUUAUAGUUGGAUCCACCAUCUUCAUAGUUUUUUUAUAGAAGAAAGCUUUGGAGCGGUUAUUUAAUCAAAAAUCGUAACACUGGGACAUUUUUAUUCUCUUGAAGCGUAGAUAGCAUUAGCUUUUUUUUGGUAUAUAAUCUUUACUUCCAUUUCCAAUCGCUUUCUCAAUCAACUUCUUUUGCAAGACAAACAAACAAACAAAAAGGCUAGGAAACACCAGUUGCAACAUUUUAAAACAAUAAUAAAUAAAGAAACACACACAGUCAUACAUAUAUAAAUAUUAUCAACGUACUAAUUCACAUCAAAAGCCUUUUAUCCAUCUUUUCCUUCUUCUUCUACUUCUUCACUUGUUCCAUUCCUAAAAUCACAACCAAACCAAUCGAACACAUUAUCACAACUUUGUUUUCUUGGAUUCAAUCCAAAACUUGUAAAGAUACAUGAUAUACGAAGAGCCUUGAAGCUUACCUCCACGUUGAUGUUAGGUUCUGAGUUUUUCCUGUCGAGUUGCAGAUUUUCCAGCGCCUCUGAAGCUUCCAUUACAUCUUCCUUCGCAUCUUCACUGUCAUAUCUCCAACUUUGUUCGCCUUCUCUUCGGUCUGAACAACCUCAUUUAAAUAUUUCAGAUAUCAUGAAACAGAGAUAAUCAAUUCAGUAAAAAUUAGAUUGGGAAAUGAUGACUCACCUGAUGCUUGAGAUGCAGAAAUAGACCUGCACAUUAAUUUAGUGAUAAGUAAAUCAAAGCACGUCAGACUCAGAAUCAACAUGAAAGAGUAAAGAUACUUGGAUUUGGCAUAACAUGGUGUUAGAGAUAUCAUGUAUACCUUCGUUGAGGAGGUAAGCUAUCAGAAGCAGAUGAUCUGCGAGGAGGAUUUCUGGACUCAUGGCUUGAUGAGGACUCGUUUUCUGACUCCCUCCUUGAACUACCACCCAUGGCCUGUGUUAUGUUCUGAGAUUCAAUAACCAAAUAUAGGUAGAUCAUCACUAACUACGCCUGAGGAGAAUACAGCAAGACAAAUGAUAAUGGUUUUACUAUGAAAGGAUGUGAAGAGAACUUUAGGCUUAGAAUUCACCAAACUUGUUUCUGAAAUCUCUGAAGAAUUCUAAUCUCGAACUAAGACACUCUAUUUACUUACAAAGUACCAAGAUUCUCUGUAAGUUAGCGUUUAUAAAGCCUGCAUGUAACCAACAUGCAUUUGCUCAUCUUCACUUACAGAAUAGGAACUGAAACAACGUACUAGAUGGUGGACUAUUGCAAUUUAUUUCAAGUAUCGUUGUAAAGCUUGUAUAAUUCAGUUGUCCUCUAAACUGGAGACAUCUUCACAGGGUAAGAUAGGAAGAAAGAAGUACCUCGAACCCUUCAAGAACAUCCAGAAGGAGUGGGCCACUAUCUCCACUUCUGUUGAGCUCAUAGCCAUUGUUGCUACUAAAGUCGCGUAUCUCAGACUUCCAAGAAUCUUUUGGCUUUGCAUAGGUUUUCAGGCGGAAUGUAGAUCACCAUAUCAGUGAGAAAAGUUCAUCUACAAUUCUCUAAAUGAAAGAUGUAAAAAAUAGUCCAAAGAAAAGGAGUUCCAAUUGAAUACCAAAUUGCAUUCUGGUUGAUAAACUUUGAGCGUAUGAUUUAGUUGCGCCCAGUCCAAGUAUUCACAAAUCAAUGCAGAUAGCAACCUGCCUGCAUUUCAACAUUUUUAAAGGUGAGCAAGAUGACCCUACUCAACUAUACAUAAUAACCUCAAUGUUCAUAUUUCGUAAACAAAGAAGCAAGCAAAGUUUCGGCCUUGACGCGAUAUCAUCCUGACAAAAUAUGGCAGGUCUAAGAGCCAAAGUCUCCAAACCAAGACAUGCCAUUUAGAUCAGAAUCAUGCAUGAAGGAUGAAAGUGAGCAGGAUAAAACAUGAGAAAGACCUUUAGGAGAAGCAUGAAGCUGCCUUGCACGAUCAUUGCAGCUUCCCAACAAAGCUGGAGGAAGCCCUUCGUUGUUCUCGAUCACUCGAUCCUCUUCUUCUAUUGCCUCAAACACACUCGCACGGAGCUCAGCCUGCACAGCAACCGAACUUAUCAGCUGAAAUAAUAAACUCCAGAACAAUGCAAAAGAUUACAAUUUGCAUUCACAUUUAAGGAAAUUGAUAAACGAGAAGACCUAAUUACUAAAAUACGAAGUAAUUUGGAAUCAACAACUGAAGUUAUCGACAUUAAAGGCUACAACUUUUUGACAGACUCAGAUUCCAGAUGCAUAAGUAAAAUUAAAAUCAUCGAAAUUCUGCAGAUAUUUGAACAAUUAGCCAAGGAUCUGGAAUCAGGAACCCUAGACAAGUUUUUAUUUUUUUUUAACUCAACAGAGGAGCUAAUGGAAAGCGAGCGAGUAAUGUAUGAAUCGCAGGAACAAGACGAGAAAAAAAAGUUUACCCGGAUCUUAGCGAGAACACCUUUCUUCUCAAGGGUUCGAGUGACCAAAGUCUUGAGAUCCAUCAUCUCUCUAGUAUAAUCGUCCAUUACAGAUUCCUGCUGAUGCAAUCUCGGCUUUUGGUCACCGGAAAAUUGUGACAAUGCUUCUCGGAGAGAAGAAGUCGUUUGAAAACUCGAAAUAAAAAAAAUAUUCAAAAAAAUUUAUUCUACCAUUUUUUUCCUUUCUAAAACAAAAUGUAGAGUUGAUUCUUCUACUGAAUAUUGUAUUACUAAACAAACAAAGUUAAAAAGUUUAAAAAAAUGAUAUGGUUUCGAUCUUUCUAAAGAUACAUUUACACAUUGGUUCUUCCUUUGAUUCUUGUUUGUGAAAUGAAAUCCUCUCUUCUCAAAACAUCUCAGAACGAAACAUUAACCAUUCAAUGUCUUUUUUGGGAACAACUUGUUAAAAGAGACGGAGAUGUUUGUCGAAAACAUAAUAAAAACGCAGUUGCAGAUAUGGAACAUACAUAUAUCACACGUACACAGAACCAUAAACAAACUAAUCCAGAAGCUGCAUCUUAUCAGAAUUCUAAAUCAAUCAAUCCCUCCCUUCUUCUUCACUUGCUCCAUCCCUCGCAUUCCUGCAACACAAAACAAUCCAAUGGAUCAGAUUACCCCACAUCUUACUUCUUUCUUUUGUCUUUCAUUUGUUUUCAUUUCAACAUGAACACAGGCAAAGGCUUUACCUCCAAGAAGAUGUUAAGUUCCGAGUUUUCCUAUCCAGCUGAAGAUUUUCUAGCGCCGCUGAUGCUCUCAUUACCUCUUCAUGCGCAUCUUGGUUGCUCUGUCUCCAAUUGAAUUCAUCUUUUUUGUACCCAGAAGUAGACAACCCGGCUCUUCUAUCUGAAACCAAACAAAAAAAAAAAAAAACACAUUGACUUAUUCGGUAUCAACUCAAGUAUCAUGACGAAUCUUCCAAGAAAAUAGGGGAAUAAUGGAUGACUCACCCGAUCCUUGGGAUGCAGAACCCGGCCUGCCCAUUAAUCAAACACGAAAUGUCUUACUCAGAUAGGCAACAUUAAAAGAGUAAUCUUUGAUUUGUGGCGUUAAAAUGGUGUUGGAGAUGUGUGUACCUUCGUAGAGGAGGUAAGCUAUCAGAAGCAGAUGAUCUGCGAGGAGGAUUUCUUGAGUCAAGGCUUGAUGAGGACUCUGUUUCUGACUCUCUCCUUGAAUUACCACCCAUGGUCUGUGGCAUGCUCUAAAAACAAAAUGUUGAUCACUAACAUGAUCCUUUGAUGAGAGUAGAGAAACCGAGGCUUGGACUUGUUUCUCAAACCUCUCAAGACAUUUAAUCUUGAACUAAGACACCUAAAAAGAGUUAUAUACUUGAAAAGGUUGCGAGGUGUUUGCUACAAAGUACAAGUUUAAGCUUUUCUAUAGGUUGGUGUUUGUAAAGCUUGAAUGUCACUAACAGAAAAGAAACUGAAUGGACUAUUGUACAUUUUAAUACAAAUUGCUAGUAUAGGUUAUUAGUUUGUGAAAUUGACUCCCUUCUUCUCUGUCAACAUCUUCACAGGGAACAAAGUGAAAGAUACCUGGAACUUCAAGAAUCCUUCAAGAACAUCGAGAAGGAGCGGUGCGCUUUCUCCAUUUCUGUUGAGCUCAUAACCAUGGUUGCUACAAAAGUUGCCUAAUUCAGACUUCCAAGAGUCUUUUUGCUGCGCAUAGGUAACAAUGCCGAUGACCAGAUUAGUAAGGUUGCAAGGUUUUCAGGUUCAUCUACAAUCUACAGAACGAGACAAACAAAAAGAGAAGGAAAUACUUGAUUACCAAAUUACAUUCGGGUUGAUACACUUUUAGCGUGUGAUUAAGUUGCGCCCAGUCCAAGUAUUCACAAAUUAACGCAGAUAGCAACCUGCCUGCAAUUCAUUCAACAGUUCAAAGUGAGGACCUACUCAACUGAAAAAUCUCAACUUCCAUAUGCCAAAUAACCUAGACUCAUGGAGAAAGCACAAAGAAGAUAAAAACAGAGAGAAAUGAUGCAUAGACUACACAGCAGCCUUAAAGGUUUGGGAAAAGAAAAGAAUCGAAAGCACAUAAACCGAUCCGAAUGAUCAAAACCAAGAGAGACAAAGCAAGAACUUGAGAAAGACCUGAUGGCAAAGCAUGAAGCCGCCUCGCACCAUCAUUGCAGCUUCCCAACAGAGCUGGAGGAAGCCCUUCGUUGUUUUCUAUCACUCGAUCCUCUUCUUCGAUUGCUUCAAACACACUCGCACGGAGCUCAGCCUGCAGAGCAAGUGUACUAUCAGCUCCUCUCAUACGAAAAGUAAGCAAUUCAAAUUCAGAUUACACUUUGCAUCGAUAAAUGAACAGACCUAAUCACUAGAUUACGCUUGGAAUCAGCAUGACUUUUAUCGAAAAUUCUUAGAUAUGCAUAUGUAAACAACAUUACUCAGAUAUUCAAUCGACGAAACAAGGAUCUGAACCCAUAAACCCUUAAAAAAAAGUAAAAUUAAGUUCUUUCUCUGAACUGAAAGGCCGAAACUUGGAAAUUGAAUCUCCGGUUCCAUUUCCAAACAAAUCUAUGCGAAUUACAAAGCGACUUCGUAAUAUAUAUAAGGAAUCGGCUAAGAGACAACGAAACAUAACAAAAUAGUUACCCGGAUCUUAGCGAGAACACCCUUCUUCUCUAGGGUUCGAGUGACUAAGGUCUUGAGAUCCAUCAUCUCUCUAGUAUAAUCAUCCAUUGUUCAACCACUAAAUCAAAAUCAAAGUAUGAAAAAUUGGAUUUUUGAGAAAAUGGGGUUUCUAUGUUGUGGAGAAUUUGAAGAUUGGUGUUGCGCCAAGCCGGAGUGGCCCGAUUUUUAGCCAAAAUGAGAGAAAGACGUUGAAAAAAAAAAAAAAAAGCACAGACACACAUACACACACAUUUUGCAGGCAUUUAUUUUACUUUCUAAAAAAAAAAAAUAUUCCACAAAAGAUCGACUUUUCCAUUCUUGUCCGAAAUUUCAAAAUCUUGAGAUAUUGCCCCCAAAUAAUGUGGAUUUUAUUAAGGGAAAAAACUCAGAUCUUAUUAUUUCCACGAGCAGUGUAUAUAUACAUUACAUAACUAAUAUAUCAGAAACCUUAAUGGGCCAUGAGACAUUAACCUGAUGGUUAAUGGGCUGGUUACUAGAAGUCCAUUUGUUUAUAACACUCCCCCUUGGACAAGGUAACCAUGCCUGUCACAAAACCGGGAUCUUUAUAAUGCGCUGGGGAACGUUGCCUCAUUAAAACCUUACCAAGAAACCCCAGUGGGAAAAACCAUGGUGAAAGAAAAAGAGUACAACACGCAUUACUCCCCCUGGUUUAGGCAUCACUCUAGAUCUCUAAGUCUACGCAUUCCUAUCUGAUGAAUGAGCUUCCGGAGUGUAGAAGUCGGUAAUGAUUUAGUGAAUAGAUCGGCUGAAUUUUCGCUUGAUCGAACUUGCUGAACCUUGACCUGACCAUCCUUCUGCAGCUCAUGAGUGAAGAAGAAUUUGGGCAGAAUAUGCUUCGUCCGGUCACCUUUGAUGUAGCCGUCCUUGAGUUGAGCGAUACAAGCUGCAUUGUCUUCAUACAUCACCGUAGGCUCCUUAUCUUCGUCCAUACCACACUCUGAUCGGAUAUGCUGAGUCAUGGACCGCAACCAAACACACUCUCUACUAGCUUCGUGGAUGGCCAAGAUUUCCGCAUGGUUGGAUGAGGUAGCGGCAAUAGUCUGCUUCAUGGAUCUCCAAGAUAUGGCUGUUCCUCCAUGCGUGAAAACAUAACCGGUUUGAGACCGGACACAGUGCGGAUCUGACAAAUAUCCUGCAUCAGCAAAACCAACUAGACCAUCCUUGUUAUGGUUAGAAUAAAAUAAUCCCAAGUCCUUAGUACCUUGAAGGUAUCUAAGGAUGUGCUUAAUACCGUUCCAGUGCCUUUGAGUUGGACACGAACUAAAGCGAGCUAAGAGGCUCACGGCAAAGCAGAUGUCUGGUCUAGUGUGACUAGCCAGGUACAUUAAUGCUCCUAUGGCACUGAGGUAUGACAUUUCAGGACCGAGGAUUUCUUCAUCGUCCUUCUUUGGACCGAAUGGAUCACUAUCCAAUCCAAGGCUCCUCACAACCAUUGGGCUGGUCAAUGGGUGGGCCUGGUCCAUAUUGAAUCUCUUGAGUACCUUUUCAGUGUAUGCCAAUUGAUGCACAAGGAUUCCGUCAUUGAUGUACUCAAGUUGUAAUCCCAAACAGAAUUUAGUUUUGCCUAGGUCUUUCAUUUCAAACUCUGCUUUUAAGCAUUCAACUGUUUGGGCGAUUUCACCAGAUGUUCCGAGGAUGUUCAAGUCAUCCACGUAUACUGCUAUGAUUACAAAUCCUUUGUUUUGAUAUUUUCUGAUGAAGAUGCAUGGACUGAUCGGAUCGUUUUCGUAGCCUUCUCUGAUGAGAUAUUCGCUUAACCGGUUAUACCACAUACGUCCGCUUUGUUUCAGUCCAUAUAAGGAUUUGUUCAGCCUAAUGCAGUGUUUAUCACGAGAUGCAUGCUUAUCUUUGAGCUCAAUACCAUCUGGUAAUCUCAUAUAGAUUUCACUGUCCAGUGGUCCAUAAAGAUAUGCGGUUACAACAUCCAUUAACCGCAAAUCUAAGUUUUCUCUUAUGGCUAGACUUAUGAGGAAUCGAAAUGUAGUUGCAUCCACCACUGGAGAAUAAGUCUUCUCAUAAUCGAUUCCGGGUCUCUGUGAGAAUCCUUGUGCUAUAAGGCGUGCCUUGUAUCUAACGACUUCGCCGAGUUCGUUUCUUUUACGCACAAAGACCCAUUUGUUUCCCACUGGUUUAACAUCGAAUGAUGUCCUUAAGAUCGGACCAAACACAUUUCGUUUCUUUAAACUAUUCAACUCCACGUUUAUGGCUUAUUUCCAUUUCAGCCAAUCUGAUCUACGAGUGCACUCAAUUAUAGACGUGGGUUCUAGAUCCUCUUGCGUGUGCGCAAUCUCAAGUGCUACCUUGUAUGCAAAAGUUUUAUUGAUGUCGACAUCUUUUCUGUUCCAUAGAGAACCGAAUAUGAUAUAAUUGAUUGAGAUCUCAUUAUUAUCAAUCCCUUCAGAACCUUGAGUUUUGGCGUCCCAAACCUCUUGAGAUGGUUCGAUAGGGUAAGUAUCAGCUGAGGCUGUAUCCGUGUUCUCUUGAAUCCCGGUUUCAAUCAUUGCACCUUUCUUUGAUUUCCGGGGAUUCUUAUCUUUGGAACCUGGUGGUCUGCCACGUUUCUUACGUGCGUCAGACUCUGUAGCAACUUGACUUUUCCCUGAGGGGACAUCUAUUCGUACUGGUGCAUUACAAGCUGGUAUGUACGAUUUGGUAACUUUGUUCGGGUCAGCAAAGGAAUCUGGCAAUUGAUUAGCUAGCUUUUGUAAAUGUAUAAUUCUUUGGACCUCUGAAUCACAUUCUAGAGUCCGAGGAUCUUGCCAUUGUGUGGAUGUUUGAUUCCAUGAAAGUUCUUUUACCAGCUUGUCUGUCUCACCACCUAAUCUAGGAUAUACCGAUUCAUCAAAUCGGCAAUCUGCAUAUCUGACUUUAAACAGAUCUCCUGUAGUUGGCUCGAGAUAUUUUAUGAUGGUGGGAGAGUCAAAACCAACAUAUAUUCCCAUCCUCCUUUGAGGUCCCAUUUUAGUCCUCUGUGGUGGUGCAAUGGGUACAUAGACUGAACACCCAAAUGUUUUAAUAUGGGAGACGUCUGGCUCAUGACCCGUUAGCAAUUGGGAUGGUGAAUAUUUGUGCUUACUAGAUGGUCGUAUGCGUAUUAGUUCAGCGGCAUGUAAGACUGCGUGUCCCCAAGCUGAGACCGGGAGUUGUGACCUCAUGAGUAAUGGUCUAGCAACCCAUUGAAUUCGUUUAAUGAAGGAUUCAGCUAAUCCAUUUUGUGUAUAGACAUGUGGAACGGGAUGUUCAACACUUACUCCCAUGGACAUACAAUAUUCAUUAAACGCUUGGGAAGUGAAUUCACCAGCAUUAUCAAGACGUAUAGUCUUUAAUGGGAAGUCUGGAAAAUGGGCUCGUAAUCUGAUGAUUUGGGCCAAUAACCUAGCAAAAGCCUGGUUCCUAGAAGAGAGCAGACAGAUAUGCGACCAGCGGGUCGAUGCGUCAAUGAGGACCAUGAAAUAUCUGAAUGUCCCACAAGGUGGGUGAAUUGGUCCACAUAUGUCUCCUUGGAUUCUUUCCAGAAAGUUCAAGGUCUCUUUAGACACUUUGACUGGUGAAGGUCGGGUAAUCAGUUUCCCUUGUGAGCAAGCUGUGCACUUGAGGUGCUGAGGGAAAAUACCAUUUGGUUUAAGGCUGUGCCCUUUAGAAUUCUGGACUAAUUUACGCAUCAUGUUCGCACCGGGAUGACCCAGGCGAUCAUGCCAAAUAGUGUAAUCUAAAAACCGUGCUUUGAUAGCAGCAUUAGCCUCAAUCAUACUGACUUUAGCAUGGUAAAUGCCAGUAGAUACGGCGGGUAUAGUUUCAAAAACUUGUUUAUGGCCAUUUAUCAUUUUAGUGAUAGUUAAAAACUCUUUGUUCCCUUCAUCCUGAGUUUCGAUAUGGAAACCAUUCAAUCUUAUGUCUUUGAAACUCAAUAGGUUUCUCUUAGAACUGGGUGAGUAUAAGGCAUCAGAGAUGUCUAGAUAUGUGCCAUUUGAUAACAACACAUUAGCUUGGCCAUGGCCCUCUAUUAGGCUCGAACUACCCGCUAUAGUGCUAAUGUUUGCGGUUUUGAUUACUAAAUUUAUGAAGUAAUUCUUGUUUUUUAGAAUGGUGUGGCUCGAUCCACUAUCCACAAUGAUAUCCAUAUUGUCUUGCAUAUCUUUUCGCCAAAUGGAUUUCUGACCGGCUUAUGAUCUGGGAGCUAAAGACCACAGAUAUCUACUGGAAACUUCUGAGAAUGAUGGCCAGAAGGAAGGACGAACAGCUGCUACAAUGGAGGAACCACCGCUUGGAAAGAAUCACCCGCUAAGGUGGGACAGCGCCGAUUGUUUUGAGUCGUGAAGGCGCGUCUAGUGUCGGAUUGAGGAGCGGUUUUCACCACUAGAUUCUUCUCUUCCAGGGCUUCAAAAUGAUAUGUAGAUCUCCUUCUAACUCCUUGUAUUUUGAGAGAUAUGAUCGUUUGAAGUUGAGCUUUGUGCUGAUAACGUAUUAAGGGAAAAAACUCAGAUCUUAUUAUUUCCAUAAGCAGUGUAUAUAUACAUUACAUAACUAAUGUAUCAGAAACCCUAAUGGGCCAUGAGACAUUAACAUGAUGGUUAAUAGGCCGGUUACUAGAAGUCCAUUUGUUUAUAACAGAUUUUUCUUUCUUUAAGUAUUUUGAAACGAAUAUGGUAUUGCCCGACCCAACAUCACAUUUUACGAUCAAAAUUUGUGUGGCACUACAAGAAGAAGAGGUGGUCUCGAGAUAUAGUUGGAUUGUUGCAAAAGAAAUCACAACAAAUUUCCAUCUAGAUCAGCGAGAUGAUUACCAAUGGCAAGUUCAGUCCAAUUUAGCCAAAGCAUAUAUGACAAAAGAAUGUGUCGAUACUGACAUUUUGUAUUACCUACUGGUACACUUUUUCUGAAGAUGGAUUCACAAAAUAAUGUGUCGAUACUGACAUUUUUGUAUCAAUCAAACAGAUAUAUGAGGAAAGAGACGCAAGGGAAGAGAAUUUUGAGAUGUUGCAGCAGCUGCAAAAACGUGCUAAGGUUCAGCAGGAGAACACUAAUCGCUUUAGCAACGAUGACGUUUAAUGAGUCUUUGGAACAUUAAUAGUCAUGAAGGAGUAUGACUAUGGCGGCAGAUCAUUGAGAAAGACAUUUGAGUACGUAGGAAUAUUGCCUUUUUACUAAGACGGAUAUAAGGAAGCAUUAACCAGGUUUCAUUAGCAUUAACCAGGUAAAUAUCUUAUGAAAGCAUAUAAAUAUAUAACCAAACUUUUUUCUCUCUUUGGUGUGAAAAAGUCAAACUCUUUCUUAGACGUACGUAGGAUAUAUAAUAACCAAACUAAAUUAGCUGAACCAAACCAUAACCAUGUUUUUAGAAUCUCGUUUAGACAUUUUUCACAGAAAUCUUCAGAGCAACAACAAGAUCCUUAUAUAUGGGUACUCUCCCAAAGCUUUUAUUCACAUUUGAAUAUAUAUAUGCUUAUGUUCUUCUGUGUGUUGGGAUAUGAAUUCUAUACAUAUUUCCUCGUAGACUCAACUUUUUAAAUACCAUGUAUGUAGAUCAAAUCAAACCGUUGAUAAUGAGUCCCUUCUUGAGAGAAAAGUUUGCUUCAUGAAAAAAUCUUCUGAUCAUGAUAUAGUGCAAAAGCUCUGUUUUAAUUUAUUCCAUAACACUAGUGUGUUUUGUGCUCGGCAAAAGCUACGAUACGAUGAUGUUAUUAUAUACACACAUAUAUAUAUGUAUAUAUAUUAUAACCUCUUUCGUUUCCGUUCUUUUACUUUGCCUAAACAACCUAACGGUUAGUGUAUAUAAAAUUUUAAUUUUAUUACUUAGUCAUCUGAAAAAUAAUUUGCUAACUAAUACAACAACAAAAUCUGAAAAUAUUCGAAAUGACAAAGCAUGGAAAGUUAAAACAAAAGAAACAAAAUAAGCAUGUGGACUGCUUAAGACUUGUUGCUGAAAUCUUACCACCAGGAUGAUUUGAUUCAUAGUUUCCUUGUAGUGACCUAUUUUGGUUGUUCGCUAUCUUCAUAAAUUAAACAGGUGUAAAAUACGCUAAACGAAAUGUUGAAAAAAAUUGGUUGGUUUCUCAAUCCGUUUUGUUUGUUCGGGCGGUGUAAGAAAAGUCUUUGUCCGAGACAAUAAGGAAGCUAAAGCUGCCUUUAUGGUAUAUUGAUUAAGCAGCAGUUGUUUACUAUCUUUGACUUUAUCAAAACUAAGACUUCAAAUUUAUAAGAAAUUAUAACUACAAAUUGAUGAUGAAGUUAAACACUUUACUAUGAUAUUUUUGGAAAUAGUUACACAUAAGAAAAAAAAACAAUUCUCGCAUCUAGAACACUUCAUAAUUUUGGAAUGCAAGAAGAUAACACUGGGAAGUUUUUAAUAUAAUAAUCAAAACUUGAGUUGUUAAAUCAAAUCAAAAUUUUUGGUGAUAACAUACAGAUUAGAAGAGAGAAAAAUAAUACCUAGCUAAUUCUAUUCUGUAUUAUUUUUUGCUAUUUUAGUCUGAUGGUUGUGUCAUUCAAUUUAGAUAAAGACCGCACGGAUCGACUUAUGUGUGACACUCUAUACCAGAAACCAAAACACGGAAUACUAACACGAAUCAGAGUUGAACACAAAUGGUUAUAAUAAGCACAUGUUUAUCUCGAGAAGGGUUUUUUCGUCGGAUCAAUGAAAAUAAAAAGUGGGGACUCACAUUUUUAACUUCAUGCUUUUAGCUUUGGGCUUUCGGAAACGAGGAGGGAAAGCCACCACGUCGCCCAAAACUGUUGCGACAAUUACUAUAGUCUAUAGUCAUGUGCGUCAAACAUUAAACUGAAAACGUUAUGACCAAAAUUCAUUACUAUUUUUUUUUAUAUAAUAGAUUGACAACACCAUUAAUUAUCACAAUAUAUGGUUGAAUUGGAAUCCUCAAUUAUUUAACGUUAUAACGUGCUUCAUGCGUUUCCACUCGUUUCUCUAUUGCUCUGGUAUGGAUCUGUCUCUAACAAACUUCAUAUUUAUUUUCAUCUGAUCAAUCGUCUUCCAAGAUAUAUAUAUAUAUAUAUCUACUAUAUUCUAUAUAUACAUAAAUGAUAGAUCAUGAAUAAUAUGUGAUAGAACAAAAGUUUAUCAGGGUGAAUUGACAAAGUUCCUGUGUUAAUAAGCUGAAAGUUCAUUUUGAAAAAACAAAAUCUGUAUAAUCAUGUUUAUCCUAUCAUACUUUAAUGGUUUUAUAUACUUUUAAGGCCAUAUAAUCCUACAGAACACAUACAACUGAAUUUGUCUUUUUUUUAAGCCAACAUAAUAUGCUUUUUUGGUAUUGAAAUUUGAAAGUCACAAUCAUAGUGAAAGACUUUUCAGCCAAAAUAUCUAUAACUAAAAUUUUGCAGUAAGGGUUACAACACAAAAAAACCAAUUUUAAAGUUAGGUUACAAGAACCUAGAACUGUGUUGGUAAGACCGCAUAAAUUAGAAACACAGGUUCACGAGGUUUACAAAGAAAUUAACCACCAUCACCAGUACAAUUUUGGGGUUUUUUCAAGGCACUCAAAAGACAAUGGUAUAGACUUAUAGUGAACGAGUGGAUUCAAGAAACAAUAAUUAAAAAAAAAACAUUUUUAUUGUUAUUUUUUUAUAUAUGAUAAGAUUUAUUUUUUUAACAUUAUAUAAGUUAAUCCUAAGAAGAAUACCAUGAAAAGAAGCUAGAGCCGUAAAAAACAUUUCAAUUUUGGUAAGAGAUUAAACGUGGUGGGUGUUAAAGUGUAGAUGACUUCAAUAACCUCUGCAUAAAGAAUGUAAGAAAAACAGUUACUUUUUAUUUACCUAAUCUAGACUGAAUUUAUGUUGGAAAGAAUAAAUACCAAUGUUUAUUCUUACCAAAUAAGGAAAGGCCAGAUUCCUUAAAAACAAUCUAGCUCUUCUUGAAAAUCUGGAAAAUUGUACGGCUGAGAUUUGUAGACCAGCUUAUCAUCAAAUCAUAAUUAUUAAAUUAGAGAGAGAUUUGGAGUGAUUGGUGAGUGGUUGAAAAUGUGACAAUUGACGUAACCCCACUGUCCGUCUGUCUCUCCAUUAAGGUUUCUCUCUCUUACCCUCAAUACAUAAAGAUAUAGUAGUUGGCUUAUUGGACCCAUCCUUUAUUUGGGCCCCAAAACGUGUAAACAUCACACCCUCUCUCUUAUUCUUUUUUUUUUCUUCAUUGACUAUACACAUUUAUCAAAAAAAAAUAUAGUAUAGUUUAUGUUGUGGUCUGGAUUAUCUCUCUGUUCCUCCAAUGAUUUGGAAUAUAUGCAAUCUCAUUACGAAAAAUAAAAAAUUAUUGAAGAAGGAAUGUGAUCAUUUAUCUUAAAAUAUCUGUAAUAGUUUAUUUAUACUUGUUAACAAUUUUGUUUAUCAACUUCUAGGACAGACAAAUAACUUUCUUUUUUUUUGAAAGCUGGCAUACAAAUAUCUUAAGAUAUGAUUUUUAUUUCCGUGGCAUGGUGUAGAAACUCAAACGCGAGAAGAGAUACACAGGUAGCUAGAGAAGAAAUAAGAAGUUGAUCCACAACCUAUUUUCUCCUUAUUAUAGACCAACCACAACAAAAAAUCAAGUCUCUCAAUAAUUCUUCUGAUUCACUUCAGUUCUAAUUUUUAUUAGUUUUAUUUUUGUUAUAUUUGCAAAUUAAUUCAAAAGUAUAAGCUAAAUGAUUCUAUAAUAUAUAACUAUAUAAGAUAAGAAAUCCUUGUGUCAUCUCUAAUCCUUUACUAUGUUUACUUUUCUUUGCUAGGGAUUUUUAUAGUAGCUAGUAAUUAAUCUUUAGUUUCGAAGGCAAAGAGACAGUCAUUGGCAAAAGAAAGAUAGAAAAAGAUGGUCCUGAUUCUCUAAAUAGCGCAUAGAGAAACAAAAAUCACAUGUGCCUUUUAUAUUACACGUUGUAGAUAGUGCGACGAGAUCCAAGAACCCAAAGUACCGAAAAAAUCCCUGACCGUUAGAUUUUUGUCAUAUCUUGACACUUUGGAAUCAUAUUCACACGAGUGGGCCUAUCAAUAAUUGUUCUCGCUAGAUGCCAAAAUGAAAUGUAAUAAUUAGAAAGAAAAUGUAUAGAGAGUGACUUAAUUUAUAACUUAGGAACGAACGGUGACGGUAGUCUGUAGAUAAAGCAGAGUAUAACGUUAGCGAAGGUAUGUCUCAUAGCGUUAGCGAAGAAUUAGCGUCCGACAUAUUUGUUUAAAACAAAUGUUGUAAUCGUGUUAUCGAAAGUUGUUUUGUAGUCUAUAUGUAUAUAUCGCACGCAUACCAGCUUUGUUGUUGUUAUGGAAAAUCAAACACGCGUACGAACAUCAGUAUACCACGAUUUAUGUAGCUUAUGAAUCAACGACUGCAUACAUACAUUAAAAAAAAAAAAAAAAUCGCAUUAGAUGGUCAGAAAUUGGAAUAGGAUCUAGCUAGUAUAGUCUCUGGUUAAUAUUUAAUAUCCACUUACUCGAUUCUUAUUGCAUUAGAAUAGUUGAAGAAUUCAGUAAAUAGAUUUUCUCAUGUGAUUCUAAACUAACUACUAGAUAUAGUAUGUAUUACGAAUUGGCUAAUUCCUAAUAUUGCUAGUAGGAUAUCCUUUUACAAAACAUAUAUAUAUAUAGGAUGUUGAAAUUUUCAGAAAUUGACUUUUGUAUUACUUUUCUUUAUAACUGACGGGACGAUCAAUUUAUCUAUUAUAUAUAGGAUUUUUUUUCCUCUGUCGACAUUAGGGAUCGUGUAUAAACGUACACUUGGCAAUUAAGAAUAUGUUAUAUAAUCUUAUAGAUAAUUCUACAUUCGAGCAUGCAUCAACAAAAAAAAAACGGCAAUAAAAACUAUAAUGCUUGAAUUUUUUUAUAGAAAAACGUACAAACUACUCGUCAACCAGUCACAAUAUAAUGCAUUCUUUAAGUUUGACUUUGAGUUUUAUUGAUAUUAAAACAUCAUUAAAAUAAUUUUCUUAAAACUCUUUAUGAUGUUUUUUUUUUGUAUUUUUGCUAAUCUUUGAUGAAUUGAUCAAAAAGAUGUACAAUAAUUACGAUACUUUUUUAUUUUUCCACAUAAAAUAAGAUGAUUGAAUAGCUAUAUUUUUAUAUGUAUAAUAAAACAAAUAAUUGGCCAAAAGUUCAAAAUCAUUUUAUCAUGUCAGCAAUUUCCAGAUUCUUAUUAAAUAAAAACCGCCAUCCUUUCCAAAUAGCCUCCACAUCAGGGGGUGAGACUUCUCACUUUUUUAAAGAGUUUAAUAUGUCACUAGACCAAGCCAUACUUCUUCUUUUUUCCUACGAGCCUUGGGAGUUAAAGAUUUUCGGGCAAUAAUCUCCCCCAGUAAUCAGAAUCACUAUAUUAAUAUUAUGAUUAAGAGAAUAAUCAUCCGUUUCAAAGGGUGUUUGAACCCUGAACAAACAAAUAAUUAACCCGUUAUACUAUCAGUAGACACAAUUCCUUCGGUGACCAAAAGCUUUUUUUUUUUUUUUUUUUGAAAGAAUGACCAACAGCUACUUGGUAAUUAAGUAGCUAUAUCUACAUACCGUAAAUAUUACAAGGCCACGAAGACUGUGCCUGUCCUGACAUAGUAUUCCCCAUGUUUCAUGAUUUUAAGUUGAUCGAGUUGAAAUGGAAAAAGUCAUUUAACAAAUAAAAUAUAGUUACAUCAUAGUAACGCGUCGAAUUAACAAACAUUAAAGUGGCAAAACUCAUCGUACAGCCUCUCUCUACGGCUCCCAUAUUUAAUUAAACAAUAGGAAAACUAUCAUAUAUAUUCGACAAGGCAAGCACAUUUAUACAAUUUUUUAAAGAAAAAAUAAAAUAAAAAAAAACUUGAAAAGGCAAAUAAAGGGCAAGUGUAUCCAAUGCAACCUUCACAGUGAACACGUCCCACGUUCUUUUUCUUCCCUCUUUUAGAACUCUCUCUCUCUCUCUCUCUCUCUCUCUCUCCCUUUUGCCACUUAUCCUCUCUCUCUCUCUCUCAUCUCGCCGGAAAAGAGAGAACCAGACACAUAUAAUACGACGCCGUUUGCACAAAAAGAACACGAUCAUGUUGGAUCUCAGCCUUGGAAUCUUGUCUAACUAUAAAGAAGAUCAAGAUCGGAAAGUACCAUUCAUCUCAACCCCCGGUGAAGAAGAAUCUAACCUCUCCUCUUCCUCUUCCUCCUCCUUCUCCUCCUCACCCACAGCUUCUGCCUCCGGCAAAGCUUUUAUCACCUUCGGAAUUCUCAAACGCGACGAUGACGUUGUUCCUCCUCCUCCUCCUCAAGAAACUGGAGAUCUUGAUGCUCGCCGGAAUAUUGAAGUCUCCGUCGAGGACAGUCACUGGUUGAAUCUGUCUUCUUUACAGAGGAAUAAACAGCAAAUGGUGAAGAAGAGUAGAAGAGGACCAAGGUCCCGAAGCUCCCAGUAUCGUGGCGUCACUUUUUACCGUCGCACCGGUCGUUGGGAAUCUCAUAUUUGGUAUACCCAAAAAAAAAAAAAAUUUAAUCUUUUGUUUUUCUCUAAGACUAUUGAAUUAUUAUUACUAUAUAUAUCUCUAAUUUUGGUUUUGGGAUUGAUGAUUUGUAGGGAUUGUGGAAAGCAGGUUUAUUUGGGUAAGUAGAUUUUUCGUCUUAACUACGCGCGUGUGUCUGUGUGUCUAUUUAUAGGCAUAAACGAUGAAUUCAUAGCUAUCACAUUUUUGUGAUAAGAUUUAUUUGCUAGAUCUUUCUUGUCUGACAACAUCUGUUAACAAGUACUACUACAUACUAAAAAGUUGUUUAAACGUCUACCACCGUUUAAAAGUUACAAGUAUACACAUAUUUUUAUAUAAAACGUCAACAAAUAUAAUAGGGCUAUAUAUUACAGCUCAUUAACUAUGUUUCUUAAUUCUAUCUUCCACAUUUUAUUGAUCACAAUUUGUUGGUUUUUAGUCUGAACUUUUUAUUUUUCAUGUUUUGUUUUAAUAGGCGGGUUUGAUACUGCAUACGCAGCAGCAAGGUAAAAGAAAUUUCAAUAUACAUAUAAAUGCACACAUAUAUGAUAUUAUUUUUGCUAUAACAUUCGUCAUUUGUAGUAUGUUAGUUUUGUCAACAUAUACACAUUAUAUUCAUCGUUGAAGACAUUAAAGAAAUAUUAGUUGACUUGUAUUAAUAAAUGAAUAUAUACACUAGGGCGUACGACCGAGCUGCUAUCAAAUUCCGUGGUCUUGACGCAGAUAUCAAUUUCGUCGUGGAUGAUUAUAGACAAGACAUCGAUAAGGUAUAAAACAUUAUAAAUACGUCCCCUGAAAUAUAUGAUAAUAUGACGGAACUAUUUCUAUAUAUCUAUACUUGUUUUUCGUUUUUCGAAUCAGUUAUGGAUCUUAAUUAAAUGAUCAAUUACGUUUAGAUGAAGAAUUUAAAUAAAGUGGAGUUCGUGCAAACACUUAGGCGAGAGAGUGCGAGUUUCGGGAGAGGAAGUUCCAAAUACAAAGGCUUGACUCUUCAAAAAUGCACCCAAUUCAAAACUCAUCACGAUCAGAUUCAUCUCUUCCAAAACAGGUACCAUAAUUAAUCACUCUUAUCUAAUCUCAUGUUAAAACACUUCAUUUUAAAUAGUUUUCGAGUACUUUCUUAUCUUAUUUUUGGAAACCCUUAAAUUUUUUUUUUGUCAUUGGAAACCCUUAAUUAAAAAGUUGAAAGUGCAAUAGUUGUCUUAUAUAUAUAUUUCCCAUAUAAAUAUUGGAAAACAUUUUUCACUCGGCGGAUGGAAUAUGAAUGGUAGAAUACUACUCCUCAAUCACUUAUCUUCUUUUCAUCCAUAUUCCCUUUGUAAUUGUUUACCAUUCAAAGCCUAACACUCACUUUUGGAGAAAUAAUUUAACUCUACAAACUUUCACAAUAGAUAAGACAAAUUAGAACAAACCUAAUAAUAUUUACUUAUAUAUUCUAAAGGAUUUAUUUUCCAGGCUGAUCUAACCUGCUUUCACAAUAGAUAAGACAAAUUAGAACAAACCUAAUAAUAUUUACUUAUAUAUUCUAAAGGAUUUAUUUUCCAGGCUGAUCUAACCUGCUGAUCUUAAUUAUCAUAUUUCUUUAAUAUGAUCAUUUGUUUUUGUUAAUAAGUUUCUCUAAUCAUUAUAAAUCAUGUUAAACACAAAAGAAUAGUUUUAUUAAGAAAACCAUUAAUUUAAAUAAAAAUAACAAUAAUAAUUACAAUAACUUUAUAUAUGCGAUUCAAAAUUGAUCAUUCCUAUAUAGUAGUAUCAGUUUUACUCAUUUUGUUACUCAUCGAAAACUUGAGCAUGAUACGAAUUUUCCUACUCAGAUUUAUUUUUCUAAUUGAAUAGUAACAUAUUUAGUAGAAUAUGGAUGGUGUUAUUAUCUUACAAAGUUUUAAUUAUUAUCCUUUAACUGAUACCAAGCUAAAGUCAUUAUUUAAAAAAAUGCGAAAACUUAUAUUUUAAGAGAAAUGAAGGUAAUAUCGGUUCAUUUAAGUCGCUUUUGUUUACGAGUUUGAUACUUAUCUUAUCGGGAACGAUGUUUCCUUUAGUUUAACUUUUAUGUUUCGUCGUAUAAGCUUGAACACCAUUAUUAACAUAAAUUUGAAACCAAAGAGUAUAAAUAUUAUGUUGUAAAUAAUUUUGGAAAUUAUAUACAUGUAUGAAAUAUUAACAGGGGAUGGGACGCAGCAGCAAUCAAAUACAAUGAGAUGGGAAAGGGAGAAGGAGUCAUGAAGUUUGGUGCCCACAUUAAAGGUAACUGAUACAUGUGGGUCACAAUGUUUACACAUAUAUUUAAUGUAAGUUUGAUUGAUGAAUUUAUAUAACACUAACCACAAGUUUCACGUUUACUUUUGACUUGAUCAAGCAAACCCUAGCUAGCUAAACCUUUUGUCGUUUCUCUCUUUAAGCAACUUAGUAAAGAAAAGUAGAUCUUCUUCUGAUUCAAUAACACAUUUUUUUUAUCUUUCAGGAAAUGCUCACAACGAUCUUGAACUAAGUCUUGGUAUUUCGUCAUCAUCGGAAAAUAUAAAGUUAGGCGAUUACUAUAAAGGUAUUAACCGUUCCACGAUGGGUUUGUUCGGUAAGCAAUCAUCGGUCUAUUUACCGGUUACCACCAUGAACCCUUUGAAGACAGUUGCAGCAUCAUCAGGAUUCCCUUUUAUCACCAUGACCACUUCCUCUUCCUCCAUGUCUACUUGUUUUGAUCCGUAGGAUCGAUCCACACUCUCUUUUUUUUUACUAUAUAUAUAUAUACAUAUAUUUUGUAUAUCGACCAUAAAUUUGAUUCUUUCCGUAAUGAGUGAAAUAUAUUGAAAGUAUUUGUUCUAACUUCAACUCGAUUAUGUGCCAAACUUCGUUAUCACGAAGAUGUGACUACAAUGGGUCAUAAGAAAACUAUAAAUGUUAAUUGUUACGACUUACGAGUGGU
Molecule: long non-coding RNA, 35258 nt
Filed under: Eutrema salsugineum
Lineage: Eukaryota; Viridiplantae; Streptophyta; Magnoliopsida; Brassicales; Brassicaceae
Description: long non-coding RNA (ESAL_LNC001370)
Source: RNAcentral